AUACGUAGGUGGCGAGCGUUGUCCGGAUUUACCGGGUGUAAAGGGCGAGUAGGCGGGCUUGCAAGUCAGAUGUGAAAUACCGAGGCUCAACUUCGGGGCUGCAUUUGAAACUGCGAGUCUUGAGUGAUGGAGAGGCAGGCGGAAUUCCCAGUGUAGCGGUAAAAUGCAUAGAUAUUGGGAAGAACACCAGUGGCGAAGGCGGCCUGCUGGACAUUAACUGACGCUGAGGAGCGAAAGUGUGGGGAGCAAACAGGAUUAGAUACCCUGGUAGUCCACACCGUAAACGAUGGAUACUAGGUGUGCGGGGACGGACCCCCUGCGUGCCGCAGUUAACACAAUAAGUAUCCCACCUGGGGAGUACGAUCGCAAGAUUGAAACUCAAAUGAAUUGACGGGG
RNAcentral lists this ribosomal RNA (396 nucleotides) under uncultured bacterium. Its description in RNAcentral is "partial 16S ribosomal RNA". It matches the Rfam family "Bacterial small subunit ribosomal RNA", at positions 523 to 918 of the family's 1533-position model. The record is from RNAcentral.